RNAcentral lists this ribosomal RNA (462 nucleotides) under uncultured bacterium. Its description in RNAcentral is "partial 16S ribosomal RNA". It matches the Rfam family "Bacterial small subunit ribosomal RNA", at positions 28 to 507 of the family's 1533-position model. The record is from RNAcentral.
GACGAACGCUGGCGGCGUGCUUAACACAUGCAAGUCGAGCGGAAAGGCCCUUCGGGGUACUCGAGCGGCGAACGGGUGAGUAACACGUGAGUAACCUGCCCCAGACUUUGGGAUAACCCUCGGAAACGGGGGCUAAUACCGGAUACGACACAGCUUCGCAUGGGGUCUGUGUGGAAAGUUUUUCGGUUUGGGAUGGGCUCGCGGCCUAUCAGCUUGUUGGUGGGGUGAUGGCCUACCAAGGCGACGACGGGUAGCCGGCCUGAGAGGGCGACCGGCCACACGGGGACGAAGCGCGGCCCAGGACUCCACGGGGGGGAAGGGGGGGGAAGUAUGCAAGAGGGGCGGGGAGCCUGUGACGGCGCGCCGGGGGGGGGAAAACGGGCUUAGGGGUGAAAAACCUCUUUGGACGGAAAGAAGCGGAAAGGGACGGUACCUAAAAAGAAAGCCCCGGCAAACUACGUG